UGAGUAAGUUGGACGGACGCGGGCUGAAGGCGAAAGCAUCAGUCUGAGGAAAGUCCGGGCUCCAUAGGGCAGGAUGCCGGCUAACGGCCGGUGAAGGCGACUUUAAGGAUAGUGCCACAGAAACAAACCGCCGGCAUUUUGCCGGUAAGGGUGGAACGGUGCGGUAAGAGCGCACCGGCGGGCGGGAGACCGUCCGGCCAGGUAAACCCCAUCCGGAGCAAGACCGCAGGGCUUUUGCCCGAGAAAGGCAUGAGGAGCUGCCCGUUCCGCCUUUCGUAAAGGUCGCUGGAGGCCGCUGGCAACAGCGGUCCAAGAUAGAUGUCCGUCUUAAAUGACAGAACCCGGCUUACAGACUUGCUUGGCAC
RNAcentral lists this RNase P RNA (365 nucleotides) under Phoenicibacter congonensis. Its description in RNAcentral is "Bacterial RNase P class A". It matches the Rfam family "Bacterial RNase P class A". From Rfam's summary of the family: Ribonuclease P (RNase P) is a ubiquitous endoribonuclease, found in archaea, bacteria and eukarya as well as chloroplasts and mitochondria. The record is from Rfam by way of RNAcentral. Lineage: Bacteria; Bacillati; Actinomycetota; Coriobacteriia; Eggerthellales; Eggerthellaceae.